RNAcentral lists this ribosomal RNA (253 nucleotides) under uncultured bacterium. RNAcentral's name for it is "partial 16S ribosomal RNA". It matches the Rfam family "Bacterial small subunit ribosomal RNA", at positions 524 to 776 of the family's 1533-position model. The record is from RNAcentral.
UACGUAGGGUGCAAGCGUUGUCCGGAAUUAUUGGGCGUAAAGAGUUCGUAGGCGGUUCGUCGCGUCGGCUGUGAAAUCCCGAGGCUCAACCUCGGGUCUGCAGUCGAUACGGGCGGACUGGAGUACUGCAGGGGAGACUGGAAUUCCUGGUGUAGCGGUGAAAUGCGCAGAUAUCAGGAGGAACACCGGUGGCGAAGGCGGGUCUCUGGGCAGUUACUGACGCUGAGGAGCGAAAGCGUGGGGAGCGAACAGG